CCUACGGGUGGCAGCAGUGAGGAAUAUUGGUCAAUGGACGAGAGUCUGAACCAGCCAAGUAGCGUGAAGGAUGACUGCCCUAUGGGUUGUAAACUUCUUUUAUAUGGGAAUAAAACGUUCCACGUGUGGGAUUUUGUAUGUACCAUAUGAAUAAGGAUCGGCUAACUCCGUGCCAGCAGCCGCGGUAAUACGGAGGAUCCGAGCGUUAUCCGGAUUUAUUGGGUUUAAAGGGAGCGUAGGUGGAUUGUUAAGUCAGUUGUGAAAGUUUGCGGCUCAACCGUAAAAUUGCAGUUGAAACUGGCAGUCUUGAGUACAGUAGAGGUGGGCGGAAUUCGUGGUGUAGCGGUGAAAUGCUUAGAUAUCACGAAGAACUCCGAUUGCGAAGGCAGUUCACUGGACUGCAGCUGACACUGAGGCUCGAAAGUGUGGGUAUCAAACAGGAUUAGAUACCCUUGUAGUC
RNAcentral lists this ribosomal RNA (460 nucleotides) under uncultured bacterium. RNAcentral describes it as "partial 16S ribosomal RNA". It matches the Rfam family "Bacterial small subunit ribosomal RNA", at positions 338 to 795 of the family's 1533-position model. The record is from RNAcentral.